CACAUGCAAGUCGAACGGUAACAGGUCUUCGGAUGCUGACGAGUGGCGAACGGGUGAGUAAUACAUCGGAACGUGCCCGAGAGUGGGGGAUAACGAAGCGAAAGCUUUGCUAAUACCGCAUACGAUCUCAGGAUGAAAGCAGGGGACCGCAAGGCCUUGCGCUCACGGAGCGGCCGAUGGCAGAUUAGGUAGUUGGUGGGAUAAAAGCUUACCAAGCCGACGAUCUGUAGCUGGUCUGAGAGGACGACCAGCCACACUGGGACUGAGACACGGCCCAGACUCCUACGGGAGGCAGCAGUGGGGAAUUUUGGACAAUGGGCGCAAGCCUGAUCCAGCCAUGCCGCGUGCAGGAUGAAGGCCUUCGGGUUGUAAACUGCUUUUGUACGGAACGAAAAGACUCUGGUUAAUACCUGGGGUCCAUGACGGUACCGUAAGAAUAAGCACCGGCUAACUACGUGCCAGCAGCCGCGGUAAUACGUAGGGUGCGAGCGUUAAUCGGAAUUACUGGGCGUAAAGCGUGCGCAGGCGGUUAUGUAAGACAGAUGUGAAAUCCCCGGGCUCAACCUGGGAACUGCAUUUGUGACUGCAUAGCUAGAGUACGGCAGAGGGGGAUGGAAUUCCGCGUGUAGCAGUGAAAUGCGUAGAUAUGCGGAGGAACACCGAUGGCGAAGGCAAUCCCCUGGGCCUGUACAGACGCUCAUGCACGAAAGCGUGGGGAGCAAACAGG
This 727-nucleotide ribosomal RNA is filed under the name uncultured beta proteobacterium. RNAcentral's name for it is "bacterial SSU rRNA". It matches the Rfam family "Bacterial small subunit ribosomal RNA", at positions 52 to 776 of the family's 1533-position model. The record is from RNAcentral. Lineage: Bacteria; Pseudomonadati; Pseudomonadota; Betaproteobacteria.